CCCUUCUCAAGGUUGCACCUGGAGAGUUUCCAGUACUCUACCAGUCUUGACUAUGAGAGGGAGAGUCAAGUAGAAGCCUACCCAUUCCAUUCCUAAUUUGGCCAAUGGCUAGUGAUUGGAAGGCAAUCUGCUACAAGU
This is a small nucleolar RNA of Ornithorhynchus anatinus (platypus), 138 nucleotides long. The record is from RefSeq and is a predicted model, not a curated record. Lineage: Eukaryota; Metazoa; Chordata; Mammalia; Monotremata; Ornithorhynchidae.